RNAcentral lists this ribosomal RNA (460 nucleotides) under uncultured bacterium. RNAcentral's name for it is "partial 16S ribosomal RNA". It matches the Rfam family "Bacterial small subunit ribosomal RNA", at positions 338 to 795 of the family's 1533-position model. The record is from RNAcentral.
CCUACGGGUGGCAGCAGUGAGGAAUAUUGGUCAAUGGACGAGAGUCUGAACCAGCCAAGUAGCGUGAAGGAUGACUGCCCUAUGGGUUGUAAACUUCUUUUAUAUGGGAAUAAAAUGUUCCACGUGUGGGAUUUUGUAUGUACCAUAUGAAUAAGGAUCGGCUAAUUCCGUGCCAGCAGCCGCGGUAAUACGGAGGAUCCGAGCGUUAUCCGGAUGUAUUGGGUGUAAAGGGAGCGUAGGUGGAUUGUUAAGGCAGUUGUGAAAGUUUGCGGCUCAACCGUAAAAUUGCAGUUGAAACUGGCAGUCGUGAGUACAGUAGAGGUGGGCGGAAUUCGUUGUGUAGCGGUGAAAUGCUUAGAUAUCACGAAGAACUCCGAUUGCGAAGGCAGCUCACUGGACUGCAACUGACACUGAGGCUCGAAAGUGUGGGUAUCAAACAGGAUUAGAUACCCGUGUAGUC